CUUGAAGGAGCCGUUAGCCGUUAGACGAUGUUGGUCUAUUUUUCCAGUCUCUCUUCAAAUAGAGCCUCAAAAAUAAAUGUUUUUGAAGGGCUUCCUGCACUCCAGCUUGCUCCCUCUUUCUGGAUUUCUUACAUUCUGGAUUAAGAAAGCGGCUACUAUUCUAUGACAUGGCUGUCAGUUUCUCAUCUGAGCAGUCAUCCGAUAGGAAAUUAGCAGCGACUAAAAAUCAUCUGGUUUUGAGAAAUUCACCAUGAAUCGCCUCAAAACAACAUCAUCAAAA
Molecule: non-coding RNA, 280 nt
Organism: Bemisia tabaci
Lineage: Eukaryota; Metazoa; Arthropoda; Insecta; Hemiptera; Aleyrodidae
Source: RefSeq, a predicted model, not a curated record